GAUGAACGCUGGCGGCGUGCCUAAUACAUGCAAGUCGAGCGAACGGACGAGAAGCUUGCUCCUCUGACGUUAGCGGCGGACGGGUGAGUAACACGUGGAUAACCUACCUAUAAGACUGGGAUAACUUCGGGAAACCGGAGCUAAUACCGGAUAAUAUAUUGAACCGCAUGGUUCAAUAGUGAAAGACGGUUUUGCUGUCACUUAUAGAUGGAUCCGCGCUGCAUUAGCUAGUUGGUAAGGUAACGGCUUACCAAGGCAACGAUGCGUAGCCGACCUGAGAGGGUGAUCGGCCACACUGGAACUGAGACACGGUCCAGACUCCUACGGGAGGCAGCAGUAGGGAAUCUUCCGCAAAGGGCGAAAGCCUGACCGAGCAACGCCGCGUGGGUGAAGAAGGGUUUCGGGUUGUAAAACCCUUUUAUUUGGGAAGAAAAAAAUGUGAAGUAACCAGGGCCGUUCUGACGGUACCCAAACAAAAAGCCCCGGCUAACUUCGUG
RNAcentral lists this ribosomal RNA (497 nucleotides) under uncultured bacterium. RNAcentral describes it as "partial 16S ribosomal RNA". It matches the Rfam family "Bacterial small subunit ribosomal RNA", at positions 28 to 507 of the family's 1533-position model. The record is from RNAcentral.